This 506-nucleotide ribosomal RNA is filed under the name uncultured bacterium. RNAcentral describes it as "partial 16S ribosomal RNA". It matches the Rfam family "Bacterial small subunit ribosomal RNA", at positions 30 to 523 of the family's 1533-position model. The record is from RNAcentral.
AUUGAACGCUGGCGGCAGGCUUAACACAUGCAAGUCGUGCGGUAACAGAGAGAAGCUUGCUUCUCUGCUGACGAGCGGCGGACGGGUGAGUAAUGCCUAGGAAUCUGCCUAGUAGUGGGGGAUAACUUGCCGAAAGGUAAGCUAAUACCGCAUACGUCCUACGGGAGAAAGGAGGGGACCUUCGGGCCUUUCGCUAUUAGAUGAGCCUAGGUCGGAUUAGUUAGUUGGUGAGGUAAUGGCUCACCAAGACCGCGAUCCGUAACUGGUCUGAGAGGAUGAUCAGUCACACGGGAACUGAGACACGGUCCAGACUCCUACGGGAGGCAGCAGUGGGGAAUAUUGGACAAUGGGGGGAACCCUGAUCCAGCCAUGCCGCGAGUGUGAAGAAGGUCUUAGGAUUGUAAAGCACUUUAAGUUGGGAGGAAGAGCAGUUAACUAAUAUUUGACUGUUUUGACGUUACCGACAGAAUAAGCACCGGCUAACUUCGUGCCAGCCGCCGCCGUAA